GGUACCUGCAGGUAAUUUUAGAAGUGGCCAGCUGGGCCAGCUGGGUUGAAGCAAAAAGGGCCGAGGCAGAGCUGCUGCCUGCUCUGCUGAUGUGGCUAGUCAUCUGAAGGUCCCUCGCCAAGAAGCAGCCUGUUUGCUGGUGUGGGAUAAGGCAACGUAUGGGUUCCUCUGAGGCUUUUCAUCUUAGGUAUUCUGUAGAAAUGUUUAGGCAAGACAUCUCAUCAGACUUUGAGCUUCUGCUUCUUUCCAGCUAGGCAGUUUUAAAGACCCCCCAUGCAGAUGCUUCAUGGAGGGUCUUUGUUGUGUUGUGGGAAGUGAGUCUUUUCUUCCAGAAGGAAUCAUCUUGAGGGAUUUCUGUUUUAGAUGUGAGCGAGUGUUUCACCUGUUGUAUUGCAGAAGAUGAGCAACACAGAGUGCAGGCUCUGGAGCCUUCUGAUGAACAUGAGGAAUGGCAUCUGAGGUGUUCUCCUGACUUUGCCUUGACUGCAUCAGAGGGCAUGGAGCCCUCCUGGACUCCAUUCUUAUCCACUGUGACAGAAUGAAAAGACCUUCCUACACUGACAUGGAAGAUCAUAUGUUGUUAUGCCAAAUCCCUCGGGAGCAUUUCUUCUGUGGCACCAAUGGAACAGGAAUGUGGAGAGAUGUCCAAACACAGAUUUUGUGCAUCAGCCCUCAUGAUACAUCAUAAAUUGACUCAUAA
Phasianus colchicus (ring-necked pheasant) is the source of this 700-nucleotide non-coding RNA. NCBI's taxonomy places the organism in Eukaryota, Metazoa, Chordata, Aves, Galliformes, Phasianidae. The record is from RefSeq and is a predicted model, not a curated record.